Molecule: long non-coding RNA, 366 nt
Filed under: Monodelphis domestica (gray short-tailed opossum)
Lineage: Eukaryota; Metazoa; Chordata; Mammalia; Didelphimorphia; Didelphidae
Description: lncRNA (ENSMODG00000031621.2)
Source: RNAcentral
UCUGGAACGUCUCUGAAUUCUAGUAUUCCAGAAUCUGAGUUUGUAGCAAGUAUAGCCCAUCAGUGCUCUGAGAAGCAAGUAAGCAUCCCUAAGAAGUGACUGUCAUAAUUUAGGGCAAUGGAAGCUAAGAAGACCAUUAAUUUAGAACAGGGUAGAGAAGAGAAGAGUGUGCCUCCAGGGUUUGGGAAGAAAAUGAUUGUACUUCAUUCAGGAAGAACCAGACACCUCAAGGAGAUGUUUUCCAUAAACCUUAACAUAAAGCCUACUUCCAGUCCCAUCAUGCCCCAGGGACAGUUGAAAGAAAAGAAGCAGCUUUCCCCCCAAUGGACAAGAAUGAUGAAAUCACCAAAACAGGAAGAGCACUGA